GAAGGGGGCUAGCGUUGCUCGGAAUUACUGGGCGUAAAGGGAGCGUAGGCGGAUAGUUUAGUCAGAGGUGAAAGCCCAGGGCUCAACCCUGGAAUUGCCUUUGAUACUGGCUAUCUUGAGUACGGGAGAGGUGUGUGGAACUCCGAGUGUAGAGGUGAAAUUCGUAGAUAUUCGGAAGAACACCAGUGGCGAAGGCGACACACUGGCCCGUUACUGACGCUGAGGCUCGAAAGCGUGGGGAGCAAACAGGAUUAGAUACCCUGGUAGUCCACGCCGUAAACGAUGAGUGCUAGUUGUCGGCAUGCAUGCAUGUCGGUGACGCAGCUAACGCAUUAAGCACUCCGCCUGGGGAGUACGGUCGCAAGAUUA
This 369-nucleotide ribosomal RNA is filed under the name uncultured organism. Its description in RNAcentral is "bacterial SSU rRNA". It matches the Rfam family "Bacterial small subunit ribosomal RNA", at positions 527 to 896 of the family's 1533-position model. The record is from RNAcentral.